RNAcentral lists this ribosomal RNA (407 nucleotides) under uncultured bacterium. Its description in RNAcentral is "partial 16S ribosomal RNA". It matches the Rfam family "Bacterial small subunit ribosomal RNA", at positions 30 to 526 of the family's 1533-position model. The record is from RNAcentral.
AUUGAACGCUGGCGGCAGGCCUAACACAUGCAAGUCGAGCGGAGCGGCGGACGGGUGAGUAAUGCCUAGGAAUCAGCCUGGUAGUGGGGGAUAACGUCCGGAAACGGGCGCUAAUACCGCAUCCUAACAGAUGAGCCUAGGUCGGAUUAGCUGGUUGGUGGGGUAAAGGCAUAACAAGGUGACGAUCCGUAACUGGUCGGAGGGGAUGAUCAGUCCCACUGGAACGGAUACACGGGCCAGACUCCUACGGGAGGAAGCAGUGGGGAAUAUUGGACAAGGGGCGAAAGCCUGAUCCAGCCAUGCCGCGUGUGUGAAGAAGGUCUUCGGAUUGUAAAGCACUUUAAGUUGGGAGGCGUUACCAACAGAAUAAGCACCGGCUAACUUCGUGCCAGCCGCCGCGGUAAUAC